RNAcentral lists this long non-coding RNA (2157 nucleotides) under Sorghum bicolor (sorghum). RNAcentral's name for it is "long non-coding RNA (SBIC_LNC009611)". Lineage: Eukaryota; Viridiplantae; Streptophyta; Magnoliopsida; Poales; Poaceae. The record is from RNAcentral.
GUGGAUAUGUGGCCUCUGAUAUUAUGUGGGUGACAAUUAUAAAUUAGAGCCAAUAACAAACAAAGAUUCAAUAAACCUGUUAGGUGUUUUGACCCCGGGAGGUAACACCAACGAGUGAAUUUGUGUGCGUGUUCCCCUUUUCGGAUGGUUAUGCAAGAGUGACACAAAGAUUUAUCCUGGUUCAGGCAAAAGAAGGCCCUACGUCCAGCGGGGGGGAGAGUGUGUAUUAUCUUGCACCUAAGUGCUUGUACAGGGGCGAAUACAAGUAAAUGUGUCGGAGAGGAAAAGCGGCAGUUGCUGGAUGAUGGCUCGAUCGUCUCCUCGAGCGCCUCCCAGCUGGCAUGCCAGCCGAAAAUCCGCCAGCCAUAGUUCUGGCUUGGUUUCGCUGUUGUAUUUGGCGAUGCUGGUCGGGGGUCGGAACGGGCUCGGCAGUGGCGUGCUACGGAUCGCCCUACUGAAGACUCGAGGACCUGGUGGCUCUGGAGCCAUCCGGUCCUCGUCACUAUCGUAGCAUCCGCCACGGUGGGCGUUGUAGCCUCGUUCCUCAGCGUCACCGUGUUUGCGGCGUCGAUGCUCGUUGAUGUCGCUUUGAGCGUCGCGAGGCUCUCGAUUGUCGACAAGGCGCUCCAGGAUCGGGGUGGCUGUUCCCUGUGAACAGACACCUCCCUCUCAUUUCGAGCUGGCUCGGGGUGCUUUUCUGUGGCCGCCCCUCGACGUCGAGAGGCGGAGCUCUCUGCUUGCUGAGCCGCCGCCACAUGGAGCAAACCUUGCACCUCGUCUCGAAUGCGUCAUGCCUACGAGUUCGAGGGCUCAGGCAUGUUGCGUAGCAGUAUGGUUGCCGCCACGAUGUUCUGACCACCUCGUGGGAAUCGGCUAAUGAGCGGUUCAGGCUCCUCGUCCCCAACGAUCUGUCGGUACACGUCUCGAGCGCGUCCGCGCGUGCCCCCGCUCUGCGGGUGUGGUUGGUCUCGCUCGAGGGCCCGCUCUAGUUGGCUGAGGCGCUCUCGGUCCUCGUCGAGCUUGGCUUUUAGCUAUCAUAGCUGCGCAACUUGCAUGGCCUUCUCGUCCUGAGGUGGUGGGUCCGCCUGCCCGUCGUUCCCAGGUGUCCUAGGAUCUUCCCCUGCCGCGGGAGCUUGUGCAACGACGGCGGCGUCCUCUGUGUCGUCUGGGGUAGCCACUUCUCCGUCGAUGUUGAAGCAUUCCCUCGUAGGGUCGUAGCUGUCAGACUCGGAGUCGGGGUCUGGCUCGGCGGUGUAGAAGCAUCUGCGCCACUCCUCCGCCAACUGUUGCCUGAGCGUGGUGAGGGUGUAUCGUCCAGGUCCCAGGCGUCGAGGCCUGCGUAUCUAGGGAAAGCCUGGACACUCAACCACUUGCUGAGCUUGCUGUCGCGUCUCUGUGUCACGUGGGAGGACCAGUGGUCGCUCCACGCACGUCCCGAUGCCUGGACAUAUUGUCCUGACGAGCGACGUUGUGGCGUUGUCUAAGCCGAACAGGAGCGUCUGCCCUGUGGCGAACAGACCAUGUGGUAACAGGGCAAAUGGUGGCGACGGUGCAUGGGGUGCGUUGUCCCUUGGUGCCGUCGGGCGGCCGCUCCGCUGACUGGCCGACAUGACCACUGCCUUGGUGUGCGAGGCUGCCGGCCCCUCCACCAAUACCUGUCCUACAUGAGGUGGCGAUCGUGCGGCAGCGUUGAGGCGGUGGCGAUGCUGAUCACGCCUCCUCUUGGGCCGGGAAGCGUGGUAGUGAGGCCGCUGUGGGCCUUCGAUCGUGUGGGCAUGAUGCGAGCCCCUCCCGGUCCUCUAACUGAGAGCAAAAUCAUAUCAUAGCUGAAACCAGUGGACAUGAACUUAAGGCUCCCAAACCAGAUCACCGUGGAGCGCGGGAUCGGUGAGACGUGAGUGGCAAUACGAAAAGAGACGGGGAAUCAAUAGUAACACGCAGGACCCCUACCUAGUGUGCCAACUGUCGGUGUUUUGACAACGGGGGGUAACACCAACGAGUGAAUUUGUGUGCGUGUUCCCCUUUUUGGAUGGUUAUGCAAGAGUGACACAAACAUUUAUCCUGGUUCAGGCAAAAGAAGGCCCUACGUCCAACGGGGGGAGAGUGUGUAUUAUCUUGCACCUAAGUGCUUGUACAGGGGCGAAUACAAGUAAAUGU